CUUGAUACUUAUAGCGUAGUAGAACCACUCCGAUCCAUACCGAACUCGGUUGUUAAAUGCUACAGCGACGAUGAUACUAAAGAGGAAGCUUUUUGGGAAAGUAGUUCAGCAUCAAG
This 116-nucleotide ribosomal RNA is filed under the name Galaxaura rugosa. Lineage: Eukaryota; Rhodophyta; Florideophyceae; Nemaliales; Galaxauraceae. The record is from RNAcentral.